This 94-nucleotide ribosomal RNA is filed under the name Thermoflavimicrobium dichotomicum. RNAcentral's name for it is "16S rRNA. Bacterial SSU". It matches the Rfam family "Bacterial small subunit ribosomal RNA", at positions 1 to 91 of the family's 1533-position model. Lineage: Bacteria; Bacillati; Bacillota; Bacilli; Caryophanales; Thermoactinomycetaceae. The record is from RNAcentral.
UUUUUUUGGAGAGUUUGAUCCUGGCUCAGGAUGAACGCUGGCGGCGUGCCUAAUACAUGCAAGUCGAGCGGGGUUAUUUCCUUCGGGAAAUAAC